UGCCCCUUAAUUGCUAAUUUUAAGGAAAUUUUGCUGUUUUUGGUUAUUAUCUUGAAUACUAUUAUAGAUAGAGAUAACCUGUAAAAAGCAAUAAUGUUCAGCAAAGUAAGAUUUACAAAUAAGUCAACAUGACUGAAAUGGUCAAUUGACCCCCUAAGGAGUUAAUGUCCUUUAUAGUCAAUUUUUAACAAUUUUCAUUGGGCCAAGUUCAUUAUAGAUAGAGAUAAUUCUAAGCAGC
This 238-nucleotide long non-coding RNA is filed under the name Mytilus galloprovincialis (Mediterranean mussel). The record is from RNAcentral. Lineage: Eukaryota; Metazoa; Mollusca; Bivalvia; Mytilida; Mytilidae.